Molecule: long non-coding RNA, 1483 nt
Organism: Biomphalaria glabrata
Lineage: Eukaryota; Metazoa; Mollusca; Gastropoda; Planorbidae
Exons: 3
Source: RefSeq, a predicted model, not a curated record
UGACUUAACAACGGGAAGCACAACAAUCAAACGCAAGUCAGCUGCAAGAUAUAGCCCCGCCUUAUUCCUCUGAGGUCCAUCUUCUCUGACGAGUACUUCUAUUGCUUUAAGACACUCUAAGGAACCUAACGUAAACAGUACAUUCGACUUUGAUUUAAAUUAACAACUGCUGCAGACUACAAAAGUAAAAGAUUAUAUUAACGUUAAAAAAAAAAGCAACCAAAGGCUAUCGGCAAUUAAGAAACAAUGCUUUGUUCUAAACUAAUAUGGAUUUUAGGAUGCUUGGAACUAUUUAUUUUCUGCAAGCCAAUGUAUUGUCAUGAGCAGCAGCAGGUGGCUACAAAGCGCAGUGCGUCAACAACUGAGCAGAAGGCACCAAGAAAUGAAACAUCAGUGCUGGAGAUUUCAAUCAAACAAGGAGACACCAGUACGAUAGAAACGUUUGGACAGUCCACUGUGCAAAGCUUGCUUAACUGUUUGUGUGACAUUCAAGCCAAAAAGUGCAACAUAGGAAUUGGAUGUUUUGAAUAAGAGAAUGUCACGUCACCCGAAAGGAAGUUGAAUUAUUUUUCAGAUAAGUAUUUGUGCAAAUUAAAUGCAGAAUCUGACUUAAUAUUCUGCGAAAGAGUUAGGACAAAUGCUGAUCUUCCUGGCUGCCAAGGAGAGAACGACUCAAGAUGUAAACUUGUUCUAAAGUUUCUUUGCAAAGGCUUCCCAAACGAGUCAGUAAAGGUAUAUUGGACUGUCAAUGAGACAGUCUCAAUAAAAAGCUCUUCGAAUGACAUCCAUGUUUACGAACCAAAAGCCCCCAAAGAAAAAGAUUCCGAAAAUCAAUGCCCAAAGAAAUGGGUGAAGUGGCUGCUCGUGGCAAUAUUAGCAAUGUUGAUGCCUGUAAAUGUUUCACAGAUUUACAAAUGGCUUCGUAAGGGUUUUGCUAGAUUGGCAAAUAGAAGUGGGGAAUAUCAGGUCAACCCUCCAACGCAAAGAAAUGUUCCAGACUUAUAUUCAGACACAUCUAUGUGUAAUUUAAAAGCAUUCAGACAAAUCGUUGGGGAACAGACUGAAAGGAGGAGUUCAGAGUGCUAGGCAAAGUCUUUAGUGCAAAAAUAGAUGAGGAGAAAGAUGUGAAUCUGACAACUAAAAAACAAAAGUACAAGACGAAAUAUGCACUUUAAAAUUGACAUCUGGACCUUCUAAAUUUUCGUUAGUGUCUAUGAUUAAUUUUUUAAAAUGAAAAAAGAAAAUAGUGAUAAUUUGUCAAAUAUGAUAACAUCUGCAUAUGUAGUUUUUGUGCUAUUAAAGUACACCGAUCGAGAUAGGUAAUUUUAAUUUGUUUUAGUUUAAUAGUUAUUGUUAACAUUUGUUCUUUACAGACAUUCCCUUAAAUCUUCUACUUCUCUGUGUAAAAAUGCAUCUAUUAUAAAAUAGCUUAUUAUGCAAACAAUUUGCAAUCUAAACUGUAUAAAAUAUACAAAAUAUAUGC